This 22-nucleotide transfer RNA is filed under the name Muehlenbeckia sp. Mt Brockman (L.A.Craven 2357) K.L.Wilson & Makinson. RNAcentral's name for it is "partial tRNA-Phe". The record is from RNAcentral. Lineage: Eukaryota; Viridiplantae; Streptophyta; Magnoliopsida; Caryophyllales; Polygonaceae.
GGGAAUGGUCGGGAUAGCUCAG